Molecule: ribosomal RNA, 519 nt
Filed under: uncultured bacterium
Lineage: Bacteria
Description: bacterial SSU rRNA
Rfam family: Bacterial small subunit ribosomal RNA
Source: RNAcentral
AGCGAACUUGGCAGAGAUGCCUUGGUGCCUUCGGGAACGCUGAGACAGGUGCUGCAUGGCUGUCGUCAGCUCGUGUUGUGAAAUGUUGGGUUAAGUCCCGCAACGAGCGCAACCCUUAUCCUUUGUUGCCAGCGAUUCGGUCGGGAACUCAAAGGAGACUGCCGGUGAUAAACCGGAGGAAGGUGGGGAUGACGUCAAGUCAUCAUGGCCCUUACGAGUAGGGCUACACACGUGCUACAAUGGCGCAUACAAAGAGAAGCGACCUCGCGAGAGCAAGCGGACCUCAUAAAGUGCGUCGUAGUCCGGAUCGGAGUCUGCAACUCGACUCCGUGAAGUCGGAAUCGCUAGUAAUCGUGGAUCAGAAUGCCACGGUGAAUACGUUCCCGGGCCUUGUACACACCGCCCGUCACACCAUGGGAGUGGGUUGCAAAAGAAGUAGGUAGCUUAACCUCCGGGAGGGCGCUUACCACUUUGUGAUUCAUGACUGGGGUGAAGUCGUAACAAGGUAGGCGUAGCGAG